Molecule: long non-coding RNA, 1778 nt
Filed under: Salmo salar (Atlantic salmon)
Lineage: Eukaryota; Metazoa; Chordata; Actinopteri; Salmoniformes; Salmonidae
Description: lncRNA (ENSSSAG00000085317.1)
Source: RNAcentral
CCAGACAAGCAGUCAUCAUCAAGAAUCAAGUCGACAAUCUACUGGCAAAUCCUUUUCAAUCCUUGUUAUAUGAAGAGAAAUUAUAGAUAAAAAUGUAUCGGUGCUCAUCGGCCAUUGGACAUAAACAUUACACAACAAGUUGGGAAUCACAAAUUCAACAAUGUGUGGUUUGGAAAGAAUCAGUGGCUAACUGCAACCGUUGAAAAGCAAUUAUCUAGCCUGCUAUUCAGUAAAGGUGGUCCAAGUCUGGGUUUAAGGAUCUCUUUUCCAAGCUUUAAAGGAUAAACAUUCACAUGCAACACCAUGGGCAAGAAAAGGUUGAAUACAUUGGCCAUGCUGUCAAUCCAGCAUGACUUCUGCAGCGUUCAAAACAACUGGAAACUCGGAACUGGGAAAUCUCAGACUUCCGUGAGUUCAAGAGAACUGGGAACUCCACCGACUUGCAAGGUAGCCUUGUGGUUAGAGCGUUGGGCCAGUAACCGAAAGGUUGCAGGAUCAAAUCCCUGAGCUGACAAGGUAAUUAGGCCCCUCAGCAAGUCAGUUAACUCACUGGGUGCUGUGGAUGUUGAUUAUGGCAGCCCCUUGCACCUCUCUGAUCCAGAGAGUUUGGGUUAAAUGUGGAAGAUGCAUGUAGUUGUACAACUCACUAGGUAUCCCCCUUUCCCUAUUCAAGUGAGCACAACAAGCAGUAAAUGAGGCUGAAUGAACUAUUCGCUGCCAGACAAGGCUCCGCUGAUAGCCAGGUGUAGCGGUGGUAAGUAUUCACUCUAUAGUGCUGAAAAUAAAGCUCUGCUGUUGGGAAAGCUUUAUGUAGGCCCUAACAGUUUGUGGGCACCGUUUGUUACCGUUUUAGUGCAAUUAAUGUUAUGUUUAGGGUUGGGUUGUGUAGUGGCUUUGCUGGCAUGCAUCUAAACAUUUUUUUUUGCCCCACCAAGAUUUAAGCUACAUGCUAAAAUCACCACUGGCUGGGUACACAGUGCAUCUUAAUUAUGUUCAAAGACCUGUGACAGGACACCAUCCUGGGAUCAUCAAACGACAACACAGAGUCAAGCUCCAUCUCACAGGGCCUGUGUCAAAUAAUGAAGAAUCCGUAAGGGGCACACACCGCCGCUCGCCGAUUCUGUCUGCUUCACUUUCUGCUCCGCUUUCUGCAAAUGAAUAAUUUGGUGGUUAUCAAAACAUCUGCACAGGUGGCACAGCGAGGAGUGCUGGAAAUCAAUUGGCUCCGCCUUUUCAGAUAUGAGAGAGAGAGAGAGUGUGAGAGAGAGAGAGAGAGAGAGAGAUAAAAAGGGUCCAUCCCUAUCGAGCUGUGGGAUAAAAGCCAUCAUGCCUGUUUGACCCACCAGGGGCAGUUAUAAACUGGGAACACAAGGCGACAAAUUGCAAUAAUGCUGUGUUCGUAACCAAGUGGGAAGUGGGAAUUUAUACAUACGACUGGGAAAAAUCCACUUGAACAGCCCUCCAACUGUGGGAAACUUGUCUAUCAUCCAGAGCUCCCACAUGCUGACUUCUGAUGUACAAUACAAUGCCCCAUUUUGACAGUCAGACGCACUCUGAAGGCCUCUUGUCAUUGCCAUAAAAUGACUCUGAUUUUUGUGCUAACGUUUUGCAUCUGACAGACAAUACCUGCUGCAGAGAUUUUUACAACCAUUCUUCUGGCUUUUUUUUUUUCAUUCUGAGCUGCUCCGGUGAAGCAAAGGAAGGGCUUUGAGAUUUGUCAGUUAAGAUGAACAUUGCCUGGAGGAGUUUCAGACUAGUUGUAUAAAAUGUGUGAUGGC